UACGGAGGAUGCAAGCGUUAUCCGGAUUUAUUGGGUUUAAAGGGUCCGUAGGCGGGCUAAUAAGUCAGUGGUGAAAUCGAGCAGCUUAACUGUUCAACUGCCAUUGAAACUGUUGGUCUUGAGUGAAUUUGAAGUUGCCGGAAUAUGUAGUGUAGCGGUGAAAUGCAUAGAUAUUACAUAGAACACCAAUUGCGAAGGCAGGUAACUAAGAUUUAACUGACGCUGAUGGACGAAAGCGUGGGGAGCGAACAGGAUUAGAUACCCGGGUA
This 269-nucleotide ribosomal RNA is filed under the name uncultured prokaryote. RNAcentral describes it as "partial 16S ribosomal RNA". It matches the Rfam family "Bacterial small subunit ribosomal RNA", at positions 524 to 792 of the family's 1533-position model. The record is from RNAcentral.